Molecule: long non-coding RNA, 2980 nt
Organism: Anolis carolinensis (green anole)
Lineage: Eukaryota; Metazoa; Chordata; Lepidosauria; Squamata; Anolidae
Source: Ensembl
CCACUGUAGAAUUCAUGCGAUUGGGCAUCACUUUAUCUGCCAUAGUUCAAGGCUAUGGCAACCUGGAAUGUGUAGCUUGGUGAGGCACCACACUCUUUGGUAGAAGAGGCUAAAGCUGAAAACUUCAGCUCCCAGGAUUCCAUAGCCUGGAGCCAUGGCAGUUCUAAGGGAUGCUCAAUUGCAUUCGUUCUGCAGUGUAGAUGCGCCCUUUGACUUAGGAAUGGGAGGGAGCUGGCGCCCAGGCAAGGGCCCGAGGAAAGAGGCAGCCGCUUCUUGCUGCAAUUGCUGCUGCUUUAAGGAUCUGUGUAGCAAUGGCAGCAAUGGGGCCGCUGGGCAGUACCAGGCUGCUGUGUGACAAGCACCAGUUGCCUCCCAGGCGCGAGCUGUGAUUGGUGUUUCCCGGGAGACGGGAUGGCUGAGCUCCUAGGCUGGCUGGCGCGCGCGCGCUCUUUCCCUCCUCCUCUUCCUCCUCCUGAUGAAGAUCCUGCCUCCUUUAGGGCAGCGCAGCAUCUCCCCUGUCCUUUGCCUUGUCAGGUUCCACCCUGGUUCGAAACUCUAAGAGGUUAUCUCCUGAUCUCAGUUUCCAGUUCUCCAAAUCUUAGAGCUUGUGGUCAUCCUGAGUUGGCAAGUGACACCACUGAAGAUGUCCAAAAUGCACAGAACAAAAGAAUUGCUGUUCCAUGUGAUAGACUUUGAGAGCUGCGGGGAUGUGGCACAUGAAGAACUGUGACAUUUGACUACAGCUUCAAGAUUUUGUGAAAAAUUCCCAUGGUUAAUUUCUGCAGCUAACAAAUAUUCAGCCAUAAUUCUGAGAAUUGCCCUAAGGAAUCGGCAAGCCUUCACUGGGAAUGUUAAUUAUCACUGGGUAAAAUGUAAUGUAUAUGCACUGUACAUAUCCUAUGAAAUUGUGGUAUAUAUUAAAAGUUAUUAUUUCAUGUUUAUUUCAAAACUAUUGCAACUGAGUUCAGUAGAACAUUUUCUCAUGUAAAUACAUAUAGGUUGUACUGUUGGCAUGAAAUAAGAAUUAAAGAUUCAGCUGUUUGCUGAUCGAUUUUAGUGAGCCUGAUCAACUCCAUCUUGACAAUAGCUGACAUCUUCACAUGACCUGUAUUGUUUUGCUGAGCCCUGUCAUUUGUGCUAUGCUAUAAAUGCUGUAAGUGCAUUAUUACAUGCCCAGGGGCAACAACAAAAAGUUAUGGUUACAUACAGUGCCUGAGAACAUCCUCAUAAACAACAAACAAUCUCUGAAUACAUCCAGUGCUGGCCACAAAGAACUCAGGUAACAAUUGCUAAAUAUGCAUUAGAUAUUUCUCAUGCACAUUUUGUUGUUGUCUGCAUAAUUAUGACAUUCUAUAAAAUGCUGAUGCCUGAGAUAAAUGUUAUCUGUCUCACUAGUGUUGUGAAUAGGUUGGAUUGAAACCAGUGCUGGGACUUGGUAGGUCCUUUGGCCAAAGCUAUUGUCUGUUGGUUUACCUUCCUACUCAGUUUCAGUCCUUAUCCAAGCUUUGUGUCCCAUCUUGGAGAAUGCAAGAGGGUUAAUACUUCCAUUCUGCAGUCCUGGGCUCACUUACCUGGGAGUAAUCCCCAAAGCUCAAUGGAAACAACUUCUGAGUAGGCACAUAUGGGAUGUUAAAACAAGAAAUGUACAUCAUACUUACACAUUAAAUUAAAAAAAUACAUUUUCUACAUUCACUCCUCAAGAUAUCAAAGAUAUAACAGAGUUUAAUAUUUUUUUAUAUAAGUGUUUAAAAAUAAUUAGGUAUUACAGAGCAGAAGGUGACCAGCAAGUUGUUUUCUUAGGAGGGAUGACUGAAAUGGCUGCUUGGAAUGAUUCUUAGAAUAAUCCCAGCAUGAUGCCUUCUCUGCCAAUCUAAGGUAAUUCUGCUGAAAGGCAAGAAAUCCAAAGUGAUGUAUGUCCAGCUGGUUGUGUGUUGACAGUGUCAGGCCUGGCAAAUGUCCAUCUGCCUGAAGCCAAAAGAACAGGGAGGAUGAAUAAACCCACAGACUCCAUCACUACAAAGCACAAUAAAUGCGAACUUAUUUUUCAUGGGAUUUUCAGUCCAUGGACUAGAUGCAGUAUAUAAAGUCUCACCAUGCCUUCCAAUAAUGUCUAGAGGUUACUGGCAAUCAAAGUGUGCCAUUAGUUUUGUUAAACCCUAUCUGGUGUGAGAGACUGAGCCAGCAUACCAUGCAGAGGAGAAGGAAAUGCAAUCAUAUAAUAAAUCACAUUUGAGGAAAACAAAUUAUAAAAUUAAUUGCUCAUUCUCUUCUUUAAAAAUGAGACUAACAUGCAAGAGUUAACAAAAAGGUAAGUACUUUCUGUUGCCAACACAGACAAAAGAUUUAAUCUUUUUGACCAUCACACUGGUAAAUGCCAAAGUGUAUAUCAAUUACAGUUUACAGAACUACAUUUGUAUAGUACUGCAUUAGAAUCUGGUCCACUGAGACUGUUCUCGUGAGUUAGAGAAGUACAAUUUCACAACAUAUAUGUUGAUAUCUAGCUGUUUCCAUUAAAAUGUGCUGUAAAUAUAUAUAUUUAAAAUGUUUUAACCAUACCAUAGCUGCAAAUGCAGUGAGGUCUGAGGUUUAUCUUCCUCCAUCUGAGUCUGCUUCCUUGAGGUUACAUAAAUUAUGUAUACCCCCUUCACUUCAUAUAACAACCUGCUCCCUGAAAGAUAUUAAUUAUUAUGUAAUAACUUCUACUAAUUGUUUCUCCCCUCUGAGUAUUUCAAAAAAUAUUGGUUGCAUUGACAAUAGUGUGAAGAAGUAAAAGAUAAUUAAUGGUUGUUAACUUGUCAGUGAUACAAAAUGUAACACUUGGUUUCUACUUACAAUUCUAUAGAGAGAAAGUCAGAAAUGGUUUUUUUUUGGUCAUUUUGUAAAGGAAAAUAUGUAAUUGACAAUGGUAUUGCAUAAAUAAUAUUCAUAAGAUUAUUUAUAAAUAUAGCCUCAACAAGGUUGUUGAGUUUCUGGGGAAAUA